RNAcentral lists this ribosomal RNA (456 nucleotides) under uncultured bacterium. Its description in RNAcentral is "partial 16S ribosomal RNA". It matches the Rfam family "Bacterial small subunit ribosomal RNA", at positions 355 to 822 of the family's 1533-position model. The record is from RNAcentral.
UGGGGAAUAUUGCACAAUGGGCGAAAGCCUGAUGCAGCGACGCCGCGUGAGGGAUGACGGCCUUCGGGUUGUAAACCUCUUUCAGCAGGGAAGAAGCGAAAGUGACGGUACCUGCAGAAGAAGCGCCGGCUAACUACGUGCCAGCAGCCGCGGUAAUACGUAGGGCGCAAGCGUUGUCCGGAAUUAUUGGGCGUAAAGAGCUCGUAGGCGGUUAGUCGCGUCUGCUGUGAAAACUCGAGGCUCAACCUCGGGCUUGCAGUGGGUACGGGCUGACUAGAGUGCGGUAGGGGUGACUGGAAUUCCUGGUGUAGCGGUGGAAUGCGCAGAUAUCAGGAGGAACACCGAUGGCGAAGGCAGGUCACUGGGCCGCAACUGACGCUGAGGAGCGAAAGCAUGGGGAGCGAACAGGAUUAGAUAGCCCUGGUAGUCCAUGCCGUAAACGUUGGGCACUAGGUG